CCCUAGUAACUGCGAGUGAAGCGGGAAAAGCUCAAAUUUAAAAUCUGGCGGUCUUUGGCCGUCCGAGUUGUAGUCUGGAGAAGUGCUUUCCGCGCUGGACCGUGUAUAAGUCUCUUGGAACAGAGCGUCAUAGAGGGUGAGAAUCCCGUCUUUGACACGGACUACCAGUGCUUUGUGAUGCGCUCUCAAAGAGUCGAGUUGUUUGGGAAUGCAGCUCAAAAUGGGUGGUGAAUUCCAUCUAAAGCUAAAUAUUGGCGAGAGACCGAUAGCGAACAAGUACCGUGAGGGAAAGAUGAAAAGCACUUUGGAAAGAGAGUUAAACAGUACGUGAAAUUGCUGAAAGGGAAACGCUUGAAGUCAGUCGCGUUGUCCGGAACUCAGCCUUGCUUUUGCUUGGUGCACUUUCCGGAUGACGGGUCAGCAUCGAUUUUGACCGUCGGAAAAGGGCUGGAGUAAUGUGGCACCUUCGGGUGUGUUAUAGACUCUGGUCGCAUACGGCGGUUGGGAUCGAGGAACGCAGCGCGCCGCAAGGCAGGGGUUCGCCCACUUUCGCGCUUAGGAUGCUGGCAUAAUGGCUUUAAACGACCCGUCUUGAAACACGGACCAAGGAGUCUAACAUACCUGCGAGUGUUUGGGUGGAAAACCCGAGCGCGCAAUGAAAGUGAAAGUUGAGAUCCCUGUCGUGGGGAGCAUCGACGCCCGGACCAGACGUUCUCUGACGGAUCCGCGGUAGAGCAUGUAUGUUGGGACCCGAAAGAUGGUGAACUAUGCCUGAAUAGGGUGAAGCCAGAGGAAACUCUGGUGGAGGCUCGUAGCGAUUCUGACGUGCAAAUCGAUCGUCAAAUUUGGGUAUAGGGGCGAAAGACUAAUCGAA
This 874-nucleotide ribosomal RNA is filed under the name Ganoderma sp. Its description in RNAcentral is "partial large subunit ribosomal RNA". It matches the Rfam family "Eukaryotic large subunit ribosomal RNA", at positions 78 to 939 of the family's 3401-position model. Lineage: Eukaryota; Fungi; Basidiomycota; Agaricomycetes; Polyporales; Polyporaceae. The record is from RNAcentral.